Molecule: long non-coding RNA, 4085 nt
Filed under: Crocodylus porosus (Australian saltwater crocodile)
Lineage: Eukaryota; Metazoa; Chordata; Crocodylia; Crocodylidae
Description: lncRNA (ENSCPRG00005017972.1)
Source: RNAcentral
CUCCCCUUGGUUGGGGGGUCUGUAGUAGACCCCCACCGUUAGAUCUCUCUCCCCAUGGCCCCCUUGUAUCUUGAAGGACCCAGGCGACUAUAGGCCCAUUCAUGCUUAAUUGCUGAGAGUAGUAGCAGUAUAUGGUAUAGAGGCAUUUUCAGAUCCCGUGGAACCUCUUGUCUGCUCUUUUGCAUGGCAACACCCCCCAAAUCCCUAACCUGGAUGAGUAAUCAUAUGCAAUAGCAACGUCAGCCUUUCAGCUCCGGGAACAAAUCAAAAGGGCUGAGUUUUGCUGGCAGGUAUAUUGGUUUUUAUUUUUUUGGUCAUGCUGCUUGGCACUUGUUUGGUUCUCCAUGACUUUCAAAUAUUCAGUCUCUUCCUCAUCUGAACUAGUAAAAGCUGGCUUUUACCCUGCCUGAAUUCCUUAAAUUCCUUCUUUAAGUUCUGGCAUCUCCUUUUAGAUGGUUCACUGCCAGUUUAACACAUCAAAAACUGAACUCCUAACCCAUCUCCUGAACUCAUUCUUCCUACCAUUCUCCAUCACCAUUAUCAAUUCUAUAGUUACAUCCUCUUUUCACUCCAGCCCAGAACGUUCUAGUCUGUUUGAAACUUCCCUCUCUUUACCUUGCAUGUCCAGGGGAAAUGCCAAACUUGCUGUUAUCUUGCUGGUUCUGAUAUUUGGCCUUUUCUUUGUGUCUAUGAUUCAAAGAACCCUAGAACAGAGGAGUUUGAUGUAAUAUUAAUUUAAAUAGUGACUAAGAUCAGUGAGCUUGCAGUUACCACACUGAUUACAGAGACAGUACGAAGGAAGAUGUGCAGUGUCAACUUUAGCCUCAUCACUGACAUCAUGGCCCUUGAUGUUAGCAAUUACACAGUAAUUCUCCUCAAACACCUCUGAAAGACCAGCAUUGAAUUUUCAUUUCUAUACUGAGAAUUUCCUGGGUUUUUACAACAUCCCCUGUUAAGCCGAAAGUGCCAUGUUUUUUACAACAUUCAUUCAUACAUUCAUCCAGUUUUUCAAAAGUUCUGUUAUAAAAUAUUUCCUUUUUGAAUUGCUAUUUUUUUUUAGUUGGGUUAAAAUUUUGUCUUUUGUGCAGGUGGUAAAGUGGCGCAGUAAUUUAGUCAAAUGUUCUCUCAGUACUGUCACUGAAGCAGCAGCAUGGAUUAGAGCCCUGCAGUGUGGAGAUGGUGCAGAAGCUGCGUGUGCCUUGGCUGCAGCAUUUGAAGAUCCCGGGUGCCAGGCAGUGUACCUGGUCACAGAUGCUCUCCUUGAGAGCGCUUCAGAGGAAAUCUGUCACUUUCUUAUAGAGACUGGGGAGUCACGCCCUGUGCAUACUGUAUACCUGGUGGGAAAUCCAGGUGAUUUUGAAAGCCACACACAAAAAAUAAUGGAAAAAGUAGCCAGACAGUCUGGAGGAUCCUUUCGGGUGAUCAGCCUCCACACAGCUAGUGCUUCAGAUGAGGACAGCUUGGAAACCUGUAAAAGAAGCUGGAAACUGGAAGAGGUGACACCAUGGAUAGAAACAGACACAUCCCACCACAGCUGAUCCACUUUAUUUGGUGAUAUGUUCCCCUUAUCUAGGGAUUCCCUGUGUCCCUUGCUGCCUUGUUAUCAGGAUCCAUGCCAGGUCCCUCACUGACCUGUGCUACACAUGGAGGCAGAGGUCAGAAUGGGUCUUGGCAUGGGACAGAGCAGCAGUGCAGCACAGUGUAAAAGUCAGGGAAUCCCUAGCACCCUGUGCCUCCACAGUGAAACCCAUUCCAGCCCAUGCUUCGCAUAGAGACAUGGGUCAGCACAGGUCCUAUUGUGGAAGCAUAGGACACUGGGAAUUUCCUGGCUCCAAUGCCACCCCAUGCCUCCUUGCCAGGACCCAUGCUGUCCUGUGCUUUAUGCGGAGGCACAGAUCAGCACAAGGCAGUGCAGAGGUGUGGAGUGAUGUGGGAACCAGAGAAUGCCUGGAGCCCCAUGCCUCCACUUGGGAUCCACAUAACCUGUGCUUCAUGCAGAGGCACAAGUCGGCAUGGGGCAGGGUGGAAGUGUGGAAUGGUGCAAGAGCUUAGGAAGCCCUGGUGCCUCCGCGCUGGGACCCAAGAUGACCCAUGCCUCCAAGUGAAACCUCAGCUUUCCCCACUUACCCCAGGGAAAUCCCCAGGGUCAUGUCUGGGUAAGUAGGGAAACCCUGACUUUCCCUGCUUACCGAAAUGCAUCCUCAGAGAUCCUGAUGGUAUAUCUCAAUAAGCAGGGAAAGCUAGGCAGAUGCUCCAGCAGCUUGAGGGGCCCAGUUCUGCCCAGGAAUUUCCAGGGUGGAUAGGAUUGGGCCCCUCGAGCUCCCGGAGCAGGCAGCUGAGAAUGCAGGUAGCUUUGGACAGUCCAUACUGUCCUGCCAUAAGCAAAUAGAUGUCUGCCACAGCAAAGAGGCACAAAUUAUUACUACCUUUUGUAGCAGCCGCAAAUUUGGGCGUUUUGGGCAUGGCAAAAAGUAUGGACAUCUGUUUGCUUUCACUUUGUGCUGCCAUAAAAAUGUUUAUAGUUUCAUAGCUGAUAGGGUCAGAAGGGACCUGAGCAGAUCAUCAAGUCCGACCCCCUGUCAUGGGCAGGAAAGAAUGUUGGAGUCAAAUGACCCCGGCUAGGUGAUUAUCUUGCCUCCUUUUGAAGACCCCCAGGGUAGGAGUGAGAACCACUUCCCUUGGAAGUUGGUUCCAGAUCCUAGCUGCCCUGAGUGUGAAGUAGCACCUCCUGAUGUCUAACCUGAACCUACUGUCAGUCAGCUUGUGACUGUUAUUCCUAGUUACUCCUGGUAGUGCUCGAGGGAAUAGGGACUCUCCCAUUCCCCGCUGGUCCCCCCUGGUAUGUUUAUAGAUGGCCACCAGAUCCCUGUCAGCCUUCUCUUGUGGAGGCUGAACAGGUUCAGGUCCUGUAUCCUCUCUUCAUAGGGCCUGCCCUGCUGCCCCCUGAUCACGCGAAUGGCCCUCCUCUGGACCCUCUCCAUGUUGUCCACAUCCCUCCUGAAGUGUAGUGCCCAGAACUGGACGCAGUACUCCAACUGUGGCCUGACCAAUGUCACAUAGAUGGGGAGGAUCACCUUCUUGGACCUGCUUGUGAUGCAUCUGUGGAUGCAUGACAAGGUGCGGUUAGCUUUACUGACCACGUCCUUCUAUUGGUGGCCCAUGUUGAUCUUGGAAUCAGUAAUGACUCCAAGAUCCAUUUCUGCCUCUGUGCUAAUGAGAAGGGAGUUUCCCAGCCUAUAGGUAUAUUGCAGGUUCUUUCUCCCCAGGUGCAGUACCUUGCACUUGUCAGUAUUGAAUCCCAUCCUAUUCUCAUCUGCCCAUCCCUGUAACCUAUCCAGAUCUAGUUGUAGCCUGUCCCUCCCUUCUAGCAUGCCCACCUCUCCCCACAUCUUAGUGUCAUCUGCGAAUUUGAACAAGGUGCUUUUCACCCCCUCGUCCAAGUCGCUGAUGAAGAUGUUAAACAGUGGGGGCCCAAGGACCAAGCCCUGGGGAACCCCACUGCCCAUGUCCCUCCAGGUCAAAAAUGACCCGUCCACCACCACUCUCUGAGUACAACCCUUCAGCCAAUUUGCAGCCCAUCUGACUGUGUAGGCAUCAAUGCCGCCAUCGCCUAAUUUUUUUAAUGAGAUUGAGGUGAGAUACAGUGUCAAAGGCUUUCCUAAAGUCCAGAAAAACUGUUGAAAAUGGGGACCAUGACUGGCCCUUUUCCAGUCCUCUGGCACCUGUCCAGAGCACCACAAGUGCUCGUAAAGCCAUGCCAGGGGUCCUGCAAUGACCUCUGCCAAUUCCCUCAGUACCUUGGGGUGCAGAUCAUCUGGACCUGCUGAUUUGAACACAUCCAGCCCCACCAGACGUUCCCUAACUAGGUCUUCUCCUUAGUCCUUCUGGAAUCCCGGUAGGGGGGGAUGUCCUGGUUCCUACUCAGAAAAACAGAAGCAAAGAAUUUGUUAAAAGAGGUCAGCUUUGUUGUCUGGUGCAACCACAAGAUUGCCAAGCGUGUCCUGCAAUCCCACAUUACCCGGUGCUUUCUUUUUACUCCCUAUGUAUUUAAUAAAGGACUUCUUGUUAUCUUUGAUCCUGGUCCU